RNAcentral lists this ribosomal RNA (811 nucleotides) under Streptomyces sp. RNAcentral's name for it is "bacterial SSU rRNA". It matches the Rfam family "Bacterial small subunit ribosomal RNA", at positions 57 to 886 of the family's 1533-position model. The record is from RNAcentral. Lineage: Bacteria; Bacillati; Actinomycetota; Actinomycetes; Kitasatosporales; Streptomycetaceae.
GCAGUCGACGAUGAAGCCUUUCGGGGUGGAUUAGUGGCGAACGGGUGAGUAACACGUGGGCAAUCUGCCCUUCACUCUGGGACAAGCCCUGGAAACGGGGUCUAAUACCGGAUAAUACUUCUGCCUGCAUGGGUGGGGGUUGAAAGCUCCGGCGGUGAAGGAUGAGCCCGCGGCCUAUCAGCUUGUUGGUGGGGUAAUGGCCUACCAAGGCGACGACGGGUAGCCGGCCUGAGAGGGCGACCGGCCACACUGGGACUGAGACACGGCCCAGACUCCUACGGGAGGCAGCAGUGGGGAAUAUUGCACAAUGGGCGAAAGCCUGAUGCAGCGACGCCGCGUGAGGGAUGACGGCCUUCGGGUUGUAAACCUCUUUCAGCAGGGAAGAAGCGCAAGUGACGGUACCUGCAGAAGAAGCGCCGGCUAACUACGUGCCAGCAGCCGCGGUAAUACGUAGGGCGCAAGCGUUGUCCGGAAUUAUUGGGCGUAAAGAGCUCGUAGGCGGCUUGUCACGUCGGAUGUGAAAGCCCGGGGCUUAACCCCGGGUCUGCAUUCGAUACGGGCUAGCUAGAGUGUGGUAGGGGAGAUCGGAAUUCCUGGUGUAGCGGUGAAAUGCGCAGAUAUCAGAGGAACACCGGUGGCGAAAGCGGAUCUCUGGGCCAUUACUGACGCUGAGGAGCGAAAGCGUGGGGAGCGAACAGGAUUAGAUACCCUGGUAGUCCACGCCGUAAACGUUGGGAACUAGGUGUUGGCGACAUUCCACGUCGUCGGUGCCGCAGCUAACGCAUUAAGUUCCCCGCCUGGGGAGUACGGC